GUCGAGGGGCAGCAUGGUCUUAGCUUGCUAAGGCUGAUGGCGACCGGCGCACGGGUGAGUAACACGUAUCCAGCCUGCCGUCUACUCUUGGCCAGCCUUCUGAAAGGAAGAUUAAUCCAGGAUGGCAUCAUGAGUUCACAUGUCCGCAUGAUUAAAGGUAUUUUCCGGUAGACGAUGGGGAUGCGUUCCAUUAGAUAGUAGGCGGGGUAACGGCCCACCUAGUCAACGAUGGAUAGGGGUUCUGAGAGGAAGGUCCCCCACAUUGGAACUGAGACACGGUCCAAACUCCUACGGGAGGCAGCAGUGAGGAAUAUUGGUCAAUGGGCGAUGGCCUGAACCAGCCAAGUAGCGUGAAGGAUGACUGCCCUAUGGGUUGUAAACUUCUUUUAUAAAGGAAUAAAGUCGGGUAUGCAUACCCGUUUGCAUGUACUUUAUGAAUAAGGAUCGGCUAACUCCGUGCCAGCAGCCGCGGUAAUACGGAGGAUCCGAGCGUUAUCCGGAUUUAUUGGGUUUAAAGGGAGCGUAGAUGGAUGUUUAAGUCAGUUGUGAAAGUUUGCGGCUCAACCGUAAAAUUGCAGUUGAUACUGGAUGUCUUGAGUGCAGUUGAGGCAGGCGGAAUUCGUGGUGUAGCGGUGAAAUGCUUAGAUAUCACGAAGAACUCCGAUUGCGAAGGCAGCCUGCUAAGCUGCAACUGACAUU
Molecule: ribosomal RNA, 699 nt
Filed under: uncultured Bacteroidales bacterium
Lineage: Bacteria; Pseudomonadati; Bacteroidota; Bacteroidia; Bacteroidales
Description: bacterial SSU rRNA
Rfam family: Bacterial small subunit ribosomal RNA
Source: RNAcentral